Molecule: ribosomal RNA, 320 nt
Filed under: uncultured Prevotella sp.
Lineage: Bacteria; Pseudomonadati; Bacteroidota; Bacteroidia; Bacteroidales; Prevotellaceae
Description: partial 16S ribosomal RNA
Source: RNAcentral
GGAGUUUGGACCGUGUCUCAGUUCCAAUGUGGGGGACCUUCCUCUCAGAACCCCUACUGAUCGAUGGCUCGGUGGGCCGUUACCCCGCCGACUGCCUAAUCAGACGCAUCCCCAUCCCUUACCGAUGAAUCUUUGCUCCUCGUUAGAUGCCCGCAAAGGAAACCAUAGGGCAUUAAUCUUACUUUCGCAAGGCUAUUCCCUACUUAUGGGCAGGUUGGAUACGCGAUACUCACCCGUGCGCCGGUCGUCAUCAAAGAAAGCAAGCUUUCUUCAUGUUACCCCUCGACUUGCAUGUGUUAAGCCUGUAGCUAGCGUUCAUC